UACGUAGGGACCAAGCGUUGUUCGGAUUUACUGGGCGUAAAGGGCGCGUAGGCGGCAUGACAAGUCACUUGUGAAAUCUCCGGGCUUAACUCGGAACGGUCAAGUGAUACUGUCGCGCUAGAGUGCGGAAGGGGCAAUCAGAAUUCUUGGUGUAGCGGUGAAAUGCGUAGAUAUCAAGAGGAAUACCUGAGGUGAAGACGGGUUGCUAGGCCGACACUGACGCUGAGGAGCGAAAGCGUGGGGAGCGAACAGG
This 253-nucleotide ribosomal RNA is filed under the name uncultured bacterium. RNAcentral's name for it is "partial 16S ribosomal RNA". It matches the Rfam family "Bacterial small subunit ribosomal RNA", at positions 524 to 776 of the family's 1533-position model. The record is from RNAcentral.